CUUAAAGGAGAGGUGUAUAAAUCAUCUGUCAUAGAGUUAGUCUGAUGCCUUAAAGGAGAGGUGUAUAAAUCAUGUCAUAGAGAUAGCCUGGAGCCUUCAAGGAGAGGUGUAUAAAUCAUCUGUCAUUGAGUUAGUCUGGAGCCUUAAAGGAGAGGUGUAUAAAUCAUCUGUCAUAGAGUUAGUCUGAUGCCUUAAAGGAGAGGUGUAUAAAUCAUCUGUCAUUGAGUUAGUCUGGAGCCUUAAAGGUGAGGUGUAUAAAUCAUCUGUCAUAGAGUUAGUCUGAUGCCUUAAAGAAGAGGUGUAUAAAUCAUCUGUCAUAGAGUUAGUCUGAUGCCUUAAAGGAGAGGUGUAUAAAUCAUCUGUCAUUGAGUUAGUCUGGAGCCUUAAAGGUGAGGUGUAUAAAUCAUCUGUCAUAGAGUUAGCCUGGAGCCUUAAAGGAGCGGUUUAUAAAUUGGACUUGACAUGGAUCUUAUGAUGCCAUGGAGAAUCAGGAAGAGAGAGGGCAACACCCAUGUAUGUCAAAGUCACAGGGUGGGUGACAUAGUGACAUGAUCCUUCAAAACAGUGACACAGUGACAAGAUGAUGAGCAUCCCAGUCAGAUUCUCCACACUGUCUGCCCUGUCUGUGGUUUAAGAUAACAUUAGUUCACCACGCUGUCUGAGAGAGAGAGAGAGAGAGAGAGAGAGACGCAGGGAGAAAGAGGCAGAGAGAGAGAGAGACGCAGGGAGAAAGAGGCAGAGAGAGAGAAAAACAGAGAAAGAAAGGCAGAGAGAAAAAGAGGCAGAGAAAGAGAGAAGUAGAGAGAGAGGGGCAGAGAGAAAAAGAGAGAGAGGCAGAGAGAGAGAGGCAGAGAAAGAGAGAGAGAGAGAGGCAGAGAGAGAGAGAGGCAGAGAGAGUGAGAGAGGCAGAGAAUGAGAGGCAGUUCACCAGAGAGAGAGAGAGAGAGAGAGAGAGAGAGAGAGAGAGAGAGAGAGAGAGAGAGAGAGAGAGAGAGAGAGAGAGAGAGAGAGAGAGAGAGAGAGAGAGAGAGAGAGAGAGAGAGAGAGAGAGAGAGAGAGAGGCAAAGAGAGAGAGAGAGAGGCAAAGAGAGAGAGAGAGAGGCAAAGAGAGAGAGAGAGAGAGG
Molecule: long non-coding RNA, 1124 nt
Organism: Oncorhynchus tshawytscha (Chinook salmon)
Lineage: Eukaryota; Metazoa; Chordata; Actinopteri; Salmoniformes; Salmonidae
Source: Ensembl